GGAGGUAACUCAUAAGCUUUUAUGUAAACAAAGAAAAAGACGAAGUAUGUGUGUUUUUUGAUAGUCUUUGUUGAACGAUAGCAUCAAUGUCAACAGUUAUCCGGUUCUUAAACAUAACAUAAAAUGGCUGGUGGUGUGUUUCAUGUUGAAUUUGGUAUCAAUGAAACAUCUUUGACUAGAGCCUUAGAAAGUGGCAGCUAUGGUGCAGCAGAAAGAUUGAUUAGAGAGAAUAUUAAUCCAUCUUAUCUAGAUGAAGGUUGUUAUCAGAGAACACCUUUGUUUAUAUGUUUAUGUGGAACAGAUGAGGAACAAACAAAAGUUCGACCCCGCCAUUUGUAUCUAGCUAAACUUUUAGUAGAGAGAGGUGUAAAUGUUAAUCUUCGAGUGCCAACAACAUAUUUUGGAAGUGAAUAUGAAGGACCCGGAAAAACUGCUUUAGAACUACUAACCGAUUUUUAUAAUGAUCUGACAAAAACUCCAAAUCUUCACAGCAAUCAGAUAUGGUCAGGUUACCACAGUACAUGGGAUCCACAUGUAGAUUUGGUCAUAGGGUUAAAUAAACAAUAUCUUACAGCACCAGAAGACGUUAUAGAACAUGUGGAGGAUCUUAUCUUUGUUAUAUUGAGUAAUGGAGGAGAUCCAAACAUUCAUGACGUAUGUAAACUAACACCGCUACACAAAACAGCUAUAUAUAGCCAUGAUGAUAGACUCUUACGCUUAUUGUGUGAGAAUGGUGCUAAUAUCAAUGCUGUUGAUCGAAAAGGGAAUUCCCCAUUGUUGUCUAUGUGUGAUACAUCAUGUACAGAUAUGUAUGAGUACUUAGAAGAUCUUUCACUGUGUAGUGACGACACACUGGAGGAUAAUAGUGCUAGUCUGUGUGUGAAACAAGACUUCCUCAAGUAUAUGUUGUCUAUCAAAGAUACAGAGGUCAAUAUUCAAAAUAAUCGUGGUCAGACAGCAUUAUUCCAUUGUGUGAUAAGAGGUGAUAUCAGUGCUUGUAACAAACUGCUGAAGAAAGGUGCUAAUGCUGCUCUCAGGGGUACUGUGUGGGAAACACGCAAACAAAAAAGAAAAAUGUCACCAAUAUUUGCAAGUUUUCUGUCUAUUCCAAUACAACGAUCAUUAAACUGGAGAAAUCUACAUAGUGAACUAGCAUCAGCUCCUCACCAAUAUGGUCACCUAGUAGAUAUGGGAUACUUUAACAGGAAGGAAAUUGUAGAAGAAAUGUCAGAAUAUUUGGAGAAUGAUUUCCCAGAGUUUUCUCAUUUAAGAUCAGUCUGUGAUAAACUUGUGAACUACAUGUUUGGUCGAACUUCGUCUACCCUACAACAAACUGCAACACGUGUAAUUUUCAAACAGUGUUUUCUGGGAAAAACUUGCUCAUUAACCCAAUUAAUGCCAGCAGACACACUGAAGCAAAGAUUUUCUGAUGCAGAUCUGAGUAACUUAGAUGUUUAUGAUGAAUAUAUCAAUUUUGUUCUAAAUAAAACGGUUCUAAGAACAUUAGUUGACAAACUGAAUCUUCCUCAUGAUUCCAUUUUGAGUUUUGAAAUUGAGCUACUUCUGCACCAGAUGGCGAGUCGCUUUGGGGCUUGUAAAGUUCUUCCACCAGAGAACAUGUUUAAUGGGGAAAGUGAUAGUAGUUUUUCUAGUGAUGAUAGCAACAAUUCAUCUUUCAGUCCUGAUGAAGGUGACUCAGAUUUAGAGUACUGGUGAAGUUACUAAAAUAACAGUGAUACGUUUAUAAUAGAGCUCAAGAUUCAUUUAUUUUCUUGGGUACCAAUUGUCGUGGAUUGAGGAAAGAUGGUCUUUUCGAAGUUUUACAAAAGUUUGCACACAAGCCUAUAGGGAAUUGGUACUUUGUCAAACACAUGAAUUUGUGGUUCACCUAUCCCCAUGAAAUCCACGAAAAAUUGGUACUCCAGGAGUUAUAAUGAAUCCAUAGCAGUGAUAUAUUUGCAGAAUAUAUAUAUAUGUUAGUGGAGAUACAGGGUGUACAGUAUUUGGUUAUAACUUUAAGUUUGGCUGUAACAUUACAAUUUUCUCUGUGAUACUAUUUUUAUUAUUUUAUUUAUUUGUGAUAUUCUACUCUGUUGUUCUGUGAUGUCAUUGUUAAUAAUAUCAUAUCAUUACGUGAUCCAGUCUAUAGUGCUUGAAAAUUUGAAGAAGCUUCAUUAGAGAUCAAAUAAAAUACUGGUCAAAUCACUUCCUAUCAAAAUUGAUAUUCAUAAGACUUUCUGAUUUUUAUUUGAUUUAUUUGCUAGAAUGGAACUAGGGUUUCAAUCUUAUAAGGACUGUUGUAUCUGGAAAUAUUUACUGAUAAAUUCCACCAUAAAGAAAAAAAUAGUUGAAAUAAAUAAGUAAAAAUUGAUUCAGAAAUUUACAGAAAUUAAAUAAAUGUUUCUCACUACACCAACACAUGUGGUAUUAUUUAAACUUCAACAGAUUUGUAGUAUGAUGACUAUCUUCAAUAUAAAUUUCAGAAAAUUGUUGCUCAAAGUAAUUAAAAAAUCACUGAAACUUUCGUUCAAAGUAAUGUCAUGAUCAUUUACUUAAAAUAAAGCAGACUUCGUUAAACAAUAUUAUUAUUACUUUUAAAUUGUAGAAUUUAAAUGUUUUAAACAUUUUCAUCUGCUCAAUAUUUUAUAUUUACCUAGUAAAUCACUAACUAUUUUGUCUAUAUUUUAAUCAGAAUCUGUGUUAUAGAGAGGAUUAUACAUAUUUAUUUUUUUUUGUAUGUAAAAGUUUCAGACUAUAAUAUAUUUUAUAAUAUAGACUUGGCACGAUUUAAAUCUAGACAUACAUUGUAUACUAUUGUGAAGGCUGUAUGUUGCCUUCUAGAUGGGCUGCUAUCUCAUUGACAUUUAUCCAACCUUUCCUUUCAUUCAUAUAUAUUUUUUUUAAAUUGUUAAUGAUUUCGGAAUUGUCUUUAUAUAUUCUAGGAUGUUUUUUUUUUAAAUAACUUAGAAUAUUUGUUGAAUAUGCUUAUUGUCUCUUUAUAUGAUGGUGUUCUUAAUUCCAGUAAUUUAUGACAGUAAUUGAUCCAUCCGUUUCAUAGUGUAACUUUGAAAAUUUGACCUCAGUUUGAUCUUAUUUGUAGUGAUCUUAAUCUAUUGAAACGGACUUUCUUCUGUAUAUUUUUUCUCUCACAACAUGGGGGACAUAGAUAUAGGCUUCAUCUGUCUGUUUACAAAAUUUUGUAAUGCAAUUCAUUUUUAACAACUACAUGUAUUUUGGUCAUCAACAUAACUUUGGAGGUGGUAAAUUCAACAUUCUACCAGUCUGUAAGGUUUGCUGCCAUCUUGAAUUAUGGAAUUUUUUUGGGGGUAGGUGAUUUCUUCAGUAAAAUACAGAAAAAUGAAAAUAAUUAUUUUAUAUAUUACAGAACAGUCACACUUUUUACCUGAAAACCUUAAAACUAAAUAAUAAAAAAGGGAACAUUUUGACUAUUUAGCAUUACAAUGAAGAUAACUGUAUAUGUAUUUUAAGCUUGGUCUAUUUUAAAUAUUGGUUUUACUGUUGCAAAUAUCCUUUUAAUCAAUUUGCAACAGUAAAACCUAUGUUUUAGGUUGGCUAAGCUCAAAUUCAUAUACAAUUGUCUCCUAAAUUUCAGGUAAACUUUUGUAUGGAGACUACAAAUUUGAAUAUCUUGUAUAAUUAGUAUGUUUAUAAAAUCUUUAAUAUGAAAGUGAUUUGUCAAGUAUUUUGUUGUACGUGCAUGGUACUUUAUAUACCCCUUGUUAAAAAUGGAGAUUAUAUUGCUUUACCUCUGUUUGUCUCUUUUUCCAUCCAUCUGUCCAUGGCAUCCUUAACACUUAUCUGUCCAUUUUUAUACCACCGCAAAAAUUUUUGCGGUAGUAUAUUGGUAUGACGUCGUCGUCGUCGUCCGAAGACACAUUGGUUUUCGCACUCUAACUUUAGUUUAAGUGAAUGGAUCUCUAUGAAAUUUUACCAUAAGGUUCAAUACCACAAAAGGAAGGUUGGGAUUGAUUUUGGGGGUUAUGGUACCAACAGUUAAGGAAAAAGGGGCCAAAAAUAAGCAUUUUUGUAACUUCCAGACAUAACUUCUGUGUUAGUGUAUGGAUCUCUCUGACAUUGUACCACAAGGUUCCAUAUCACAAAGGCAAUGCUGGGAUUGAUUUUGGGAGUAAUUGCCUCAAAAUAUUAGGAAUUAGGGGCCAAAAAAGGGGCAAAAAACAAGCAUUUUUCUAGUUUCAUGACAAUAACUUGUGUUUAAGUGUAUGGAUCUUUCUGAAAUUGUACUACAAGGUUCCAUAUCACAAAGGGAAAGCUGGGUUUGAGUUUGGGGGUAAUUGGCCUAAACGUUUAGGAAUUUGGGGCCAAAAAGGGGCCAAAAAACACAUGUUUCUAGUUUCCAGACAAUAACUUGUGUUCAAGUGUAUGGAUUUCUCUGAAAUUGUACUGCAAGGUACCAUACCACAAAGGGAAGGCUGGAAUUGAGUUUGGGGGUGAUGAAUCAUAAG
This is an RNA transcript of Mytilus californianus (California mussel), 4484 nucleotides long. RefSeq lists it as uncharacterized. The record is from RefSeq and is a predicted model, not a curated record. Lineage: Eukaryota; Metazoa; Mollusca; Bivalvia; Mytilida; Mytilidae. The transcript is spliced from 10 exons.